CCUACGGGUGGCUGCAGUGGGGAAUAUUGGACAAUGGGCGCAAGCCUGAUCCAGCAAUGCCGCGUGUGUGAAGAAGGCCUUAGGGUUGUAAAGCACUUUCAGCAAUGAAGAAGUUGUAUUGGCUAAUAUCCAAUAUAAUUGACGUUAGUUGCAGAAGAAGUACUGGCUAACUCUGUGCCAGCAGCCGCGGUAAUACAGAGAGUGCAAGCGUUAAUCAGAAUUAUUGGGGGUAAUUAAUAAAGUGGGUGUUGAAAUCCCUGGGCUUAACCUAGGAAUUGCAUUUAAUACUUUGUAUCUAGAGUAUUGUAGGGGGAAGUGGAAUUUCCGGUGUAGCGGUGAAAUGCGUAGAUAUCGGAAGGAACACCAGUGGCGAAGGCGACUUCCUGGACAAAUACUGACACUGAGACACGAAAGCGUGGGGAGCAAACAGGAUUAGAUACCCCAGUAGUC
RNAcentral lists this ribosomal RNA (450 nucleotides) under uncultured bacterium. RNAcentral describes it as "partial 16S ribosomal RNA". It matches the Rfam family "Bacterial small subunit ribosomal RNA", at positions 338 to 795 of the family's 1533-position model. The record is from RNAcentral.